RNAcentral lists this ribosomal RNA (431 nucleotides) under uncultured bacterium. RNAcentral's name for it is "partial 16S ribosomal RNA". It matches the Rfam family "Bacterial small subunit ribosomal RNA", at positions 29 to 507 of the family's 1533-position model. The record is from RNAcentral.
AACGAACGCUGGCGGCAGGCCUAACACAUGCAAGUCGAGCGCGCCUUCGGGUGAGCGGCGGACGGGUGAGUAACGCGUGGGAAUAUGCCCUUCUCUACGGAAUAGUCCUGGGAAACUGGGGGUAAUACCGUAUACGCCCUUUGGGGGAAAGAUUUAUCGGGGAAGGAUUAGCCCGCGUUGGAUUAGGUAGUUGGUGGGGUAAUGGCCUACCAAGCCGACGAUCCAUAGCUGGUUUGAGAGGAUGAUCCGCCACACUGGGACUGAGACACGGCCCAGACUCCUACGGGAGGCAGCAGUGGGGAAUCUUAGACAAUGGGGGCAACCCUGAUCUAGCCAUGCCGCGUGAGUGAUGAAGGCCUUAGGGUUGUAAAGCUCUUUCAGCUGGGAAGAUAAUGACGGUACCAGCAGAAGAAGCCCCGGCUAACUCCGUG